AGAAGUCCGUGUCAUUGCCCCGACGACACCGAGCUCUAAAGUACACGCACAUAAAAAACGGCUUAAUCGUACUACAGACGCGUAUGGUUGCUUAAUUGGACACCUGGCCGCCCGCGUCGUUGUGAUGGACUUCCGCCACCAACUUUACUUCCCGAAGUGGACUCCAUUUUCACAAAGAUGCUCGAAUCCAAUUGUGCAGCAAACAACUUCUUUGACGUACGUUUGGACGGAGGUCUGGCUUGAAGAAUUCUGCCCUUGAUGGACAUUAGAGGGAGCGGCCAUUUUGCUUGGCCUGCAGCGCGGCGGCGGGUCCCUCAGGGAAAUGUCGGCCUAAACUGGCAGGUCUGAAGUGAUUAUGUGAGCACGCUUGGAAGAGAGCCAUGCCUUCGGGUCCUGUGGGAGACCUGAACGCUCUUUGACGCUACAGAGGAGGAGUGAGAGCCGCUGGAGGAAAGAUGCAAACUCGCCGUCUGGUCCGCCCACGCCGGCUCUCUCGACUCGCCAAGAAACCUCGGCAGCGGACGCACGGGAAGAGGGAUUGGGACGCAGAGUCCAGCUGGCCCGACGGCGGAGUCAGCCAACGAAACAGAUGUGCCAGAGACUUUGAUGUAGGAUGCCGUCGGUGUUGUCAAGGAUACCAAAUGAGGCAAAAAUAACAAGGGAGUUUGCAAUUGUCGCUCUCAAAGUAUCUGAAGAACACAAAUGCUGAGGAGCCGGAUGAACACCGGCGACGCCCCACAACCUGGACAAGAUGGCCGACAACCCUUGGGCAGAGGCUGACGAGC
Syngnathus acus (greater pipefish) is the source of this 785-nucleotide long non-coding RNA. RefSeq lists it as uncharacterized. NCBI's taxonomy places the organism in Eukaryota, Metazoa, Chordata, Actinopteri, Syngnathiformes, Syngnathidae. The transcript has 7 exons. The record is from RefSeq and is a predicted model, not a curated record.